CCUACGGGAGGCUGCAGUGAGGAAUAUUGGUCAAUGGACGAGAGUCUGAACCAGCCAAGUAGCGUGAAGGAUGAAGGCACUGUGUAUUGUAAACUUCUUUUAUCUGGGAAUAAAAUGUUCCACGUGUGGGAGUUUGUAUGUACCAUAUGAAUAAGCAUCGGCUAACUCCGUGCCAGCAGCCGCGGUAAUACGGAGGAUCCGAGCGUUAUCCGGAUUUAUUGGGUUUAAAGGGAGCGUAGGUGGAUUGUUAAGUCAGUUGUGAAAGUUUGCGGCUCAACCGUAAAAUUGCAGUUGAAACUGGCAGUCUUGAGUACAGUAGAGGUGGGCGGAAUGCGUGGUGUAGCGGUGAAAUGCUUAGAUAUCACGAAGAACUCCGAUUGCGAAGGCAGCUCACUGGACUGCAACUGACACUGAGGCUCGAAAGUGUGGGUAUCAAACAGGAUUAGAUACCCCUGUAGUC
This 460-nucleotide ribosomal RNA is filed under the name uncultured bacterium. Its description in RNAcentral is "partial 16S ribosomal RNA". It matches the Rfam family "Bacterial small subunit ribosomal RNA", at positions 338 to 795 of the family's 1533-position model. The record is from RNAcentral.